AGCCUAUGAUGUUUCAAGAGUAGUGGACAGAAUAAUUUUCUGACAACAUAAUAUACACUGAGGCU
Small nucleolar RNA from Spea bombifrons (plains spadefoot toad), 65 nucleotides. RefSeq annotates it as small nucleolar RNA SNORD75. The record is from RefSeq and is a predicted model, not a curated record. The transcript has a single exon. NCBI's taxonomy places the organism in Eukaryota, Metazoa, Chordata, Amphibia, Anura, Pelobatidae.